AAAUUGAAGAGUUUGAUCAUGGCUCAGAUUGAACGCUGGCGGCAGGCCUAACACAUGCAAGUCGAACGGUAACAGAAAGCAGCUUGCUGCUUUGCUGACGAGUGGCGGACGGGUGAGUAAUGUCUGGGAAACUGCCUGAUGGAGGGGGAUAACUACUGGAAACGGUAGCUAAUACCGCAUAACGUCGCAAGACCAAAGAGGGGGACCUUAGGGCCUCUUGCCAUCGGAUGUGCCCAGAUGGGAUUAGCUAGUAGGUGGGGUAACGGCUCACCUAGGCGACGAUCCCUAGCUGGUCUGAGAGGAUGACCAGCCACACUGGAACUGAGACACGGUCCAGACUCCUACGGGAGGCAGCAGUGGGGAAUAUUGCACAAUGGGCGCAAGCCUGAUGCAGCCAUGCCGCGUGUAUGAAGAAGGCCUUCGGGUUGUAAAGUACUUUCAGCGGGGAGGAAGGGAGUAAAGUUAAUACCUUUGCUCAUUGACGUUACCCGCAGAAGAAGCACCGGCUAACUCCGUGCCAGCAGCCGCGGUAAUACGGAGGGUGCAAGCGUUAAUCGGAAUUACUGGGCGUAAAGCGCACGCAGGCGGUUUGUUAAGUCAGAUGUGAAAUCCCCGGGCUCAACCUGGGAACUGCAUCUGAUACUGGCAAGCUUGAGUCUCGUAGAGGGGGGUAGAAUUCCAGGUGUAGCGGUGAAAUGCGUAGAGAUCUGGAGGAAUACCGGUGGCGAAGGCGGCCCCCUGGACGAAGACUGACGCUCAGGUGCGAAAGCGUGGGGAGCAAACAGGAUUAGAUACCCUGGUAGUCCACGCCGUAAACGAUGUCGACUUGGAGGUUGUGCCCUUGAGGCGUGGCUUCCGGAGCUAACGCGUUAAGUCGACCGCCUGGGGAGUACGGCCGCAAGGUUAAAACUCAAAUGAAUUGACGGGGGCCCGCACAAGCGGUGGAGCAUGUGGUUUAAUUCGAUGCAACGCGAAGAACCUUACCUGGUCUUGACAUCCACGGAAGUUUUCAGAGAUGAGAAUGUGCCUUCGGGAACCGUGAGACAGGUGCUGCAUGGCUGUCGUCAGCUCGUGUUGUGAAAUGUUGGGUUAAGUCCCGCAACGAGCGCAACCCUUAUCCUUUGUUGCCAGCGGUCCGGCCGGGAACUCAAAGGAGACUGCCAGUGAUAAACUGGAGGAAGGUGGGGAUGACGUCAAGUCAUCAUGGCCCUUACGACCAGGGCUACACACGUGCUACAAUGGCGCAUACAAAGAGAAGCGACCUCGCGAGAGCAAGCGGAUCUCAUAAAGUGCGUCGUAGUCCGGAUUGGAGUCUGCAACUCGACUCCAUGAAGUCGGAAUCGCUAGUAAUCGUGGAUCAGAAUGCCACGGUGAAUACGUUCCCGGGCCUUGUACACACCGCCCGUCACACCAUGGGAGUGGGUUGCAAAAGAAGUAGGUAGCUUAACCUUCGGGAGGGCGCUUACCACUUUGUGAUUCAUGACUGGGGUGAAGUCGUAACAAGGUAACCGUAGGGGAACCUGCGGUUGGAUCACCUCCUUACCUUAAAGAAGC
Molecule: ribosomal RNA, 1554 nt
Filed under: Escherichia coli
Lineage: Bacteria; Pseudomonadati; Pseudomonadota; Gammaproteobacteria; Enterobacterales; Enterobacteriaceae
Description: bacterial SSU rRNA
Rfam family: Bacterial small subunit ribosomal RNA
Source: RNAcentral